Molecule: unclassified non-coding RNA, 339 nt
Filed under: fungal sp.
Lineage: Eukaryota; Fungi
Description: partial internal transcribed spacer region
Rfam family: Eukaryotic small subunit ribosomal RNA (bases 1-46)
Source: RNAcentral
AAGUCGUAACAAGGUUUCCGUAGGUGAACCUGCGGAAGGAUCAUUCUUGUAUAAUAACUAAUUAGUUUGCUCCGGCAAAUCUAAACUAUGUGAACCGUGCUCGCUCAAUUGCAGUGCGAUUGUUUGUGUUUGUUUGUCUGUCGCUGACACAUUUAAGAGACAUGCGACUUGGCUUUUGCCUGAGUCUAAGCGUCUUGUGUUAGUGACUGCAAGCUGCACUAGCCUGCAGUCGGGUAACAAUUAAGCAGAUUUAAAGUCUAUACAACUACACUUUAUUUAUUGUCUUAAUCAAAACACUUAAACAAAGUACAACUUUUAGCAACGGAUCUCUAGGCUCUC